This is a non-coding RNA of Aedes aegypti (yellow fever mosquito), 94 nucleotides long. NCBI's taxonomy places the organism in Eukaryota, Metazoa, Arthropoda, Insecta, Diptera, Culicidae. The record is from Rfam.
GCGCGAUGACUUACGGGGAUAAUCCGGCGGAGUACAACCCGAAGCUCCACGGACCUUACAAUCCUGUCCGUUACUAAGGUAAGCCGGAUACGCC